GCGGCUAUUGUAUAAUGGUUAUUACGUCGGUUUGUGGUACCGAAAAUCCGGGUUCGAUUCCCGGUAGCCGCCCA
Molecule: transfer RNA, 74 nt
Filed under: bacterium
Lineage: Bacteria
Description: tRNA-His
Rfam family: tRNA
About the family: Transfer RNA (tRNA) molecules are approximately 80 nucleotides in length. Their secondary structure includes four short double-helical elements and three loops (D, anti-codon, and T loops). Further hydrogen bonds mediate the characteristic L-shaped molecular structure. tRNAs have two regions of fundamental functional importance: the anti-codon, which is responsible for specific mRNA codon recognition, and the 3' end, to which the tRNAs corresponding amino acid is attached (by aminoacyl-tRNA synthetases). tRNAs cope with the degeneracy of the genetic code in two manners: having more than one tRNA (with a specific anti-codon) for a particular amino acid; and 'wobble' base-pairing, i.e. permitting non-standard base-pairing at the 3rd anti-codon position.
Source: RNAcentral